RNAcentral lists this ribosomal RNA (497 nucleotides) under uncultured bacterium. Its description in RNAcentral is "partial 16S ribosomal RNA". It matches the Rfam family "Bacterial small subunit ribosomal RNA", at positions 28 to 507 of the family's 1533-position model. The record is from RNAcentral.
GAUGAACGCUGGCGGCGUGCCUAAUACAUGCAAGUCGAGCGAACGGACGAGAAGCUUGCUUCUCUGAUGUUAGCGGCGGACGGGUGAGUAACACGUGGAUAACCUACCUAUAAGACUGGGAUAACUUCGGGAAACCGGAGCUAAUACCGGAUAAUAUUUUGAACCGCAUGGUUCAAAAGUGAAAGACGGUCUUGCUGUCACUUAUAGAUGGAUCCGCGCUGCAUUAGCUAGUUGGUAAGGUAACGGCUUACCAAGGCAACGAUGCAUAGCCGACCUGAGAGGGUGAUCGGCCACACUGGAACUGAGACACGGUCCAGACUCCUACGGGAGGCAGCAGUAGGGAAUCUGCCGCAAUGGGCGAAAGCAUGACGGAGCAACGCCGCGUGAGUGAUGAAGGUCUUCGGAUCGUAAAACUCUGUUAUUAGGGAAGAACAUAUGUGUAAGUAACUGUGCACAUCUUGACGGUACCUAAUCAGAAAGCCACGGCUAACUACGUG